Molecule: RNA transcript, 1751 nt
Organism: Camellia sinensis
Lineage: Eukaryota; Viridiplantae; Streptophyta; Magnoliopsida; Ericales; Theaceae
Gene name: acetyl-CoA acetyltransferase 2
Source: RefSeq, a predicted model, not a curated record
GUUUUGCCUUCUCAAUCACGAAAACUCUCUAUAUAUUGAACCUCAGCUCGAUUUCUUGCUGACCAGCUCCCUCUCUCUCUCUCUCUCUCUCUGUGUACACUCUUAACUGUUGUUGAUUCUGACGUAUCGCAAUCAGAGAGGUGAACCCCCAAUUAGAGAGAUAUUGAUUCACAUAUAUCAUCAUGGCUCCAGCAGCGGCAGCAGAUUCAAUAAAGCCUAGAGAUGUUUGUGUUGUUGGUGUUGCACGUACCCCUAUGGGUGGAUUUCUUGGCACUCUUUCAUCUUUACCAGCCACUAAGCUUGGAUCUGUAGCUAUUGAAAGUGCUCUUAAAAGGGCUAAUGUUGAUCCAUCACUUGUACAAGAAGUUUUCUUUGGCAAUGUUCUCAGUGCAAAUUUGGGGCAGGCUCCUGCUAGGCAAGCAGCAUUAGGUGCAGGGAUACCUAAUACAGUAAUCUGUACCACCGUUAAUAAAGUUUGUGCAUCUGGGAUGAAAGCAACUAUGCUUGCAGCACAGAGUAUCCAGUUGGGCAUCAAUGAUGUUGUUGUGGCUGGUGGCAUGGAAAGCAUGUCUAAUGUCCCAAAAUACCUAGCUGAAGUGAGGAAGGGAUCCCGACUUGGACACGAUUCUGUUGUUGAUGGUAUGCUCAAAGAUGGAUUGUGGGAUGUUUAUAAUGAUUAUGGAAUGGGGGUUUGUGCUGAAUUAUGUGCAGAACAACAUACAGUAACAAGAGAAGAGCAGGAUGAUUAUGCUGUUCAGAGCUUUGAGCGUGGUAUUGCGGCUCAAAAUGGUGGUGCCUUUGCAUGGGAAAUAGUUCCGGUUGAGGUUUCUGGAGGAAGAGGAAAACCAUCAACAAUUGUUGAUAAGGAUGAAGGUCUAGGAAAGUUUGACGCUGCUAAGUUGAGGAAGCUCCGACCGAGUUUCAAGGAGAAUGGAGGUUCUGUCACUGCUGGCAAUGCUUCUAGCAUAAGUGAUGGUGCUGCUGCAUUAGUCUUAGUGAGUGGAGAGAAGGCACUUAGGCUUGGGUUGCAAGUGAUUGCAAAGAUCACAGGAUAUGCUGAUGCUGCACAGGCACCAGAAUUAUUUACGACUGCUCCAGCCCUUGCAAUACCAAAAGCUAUUUCAAAUGCUGGUUUGGAGGCUUCUCAGGUUGAUUACUAUGAAAUAAAUGAAGCCUUUGCAGUUGUGUCUCUUGCAAAUAUGAAAUUGCUGGGACUUAACCCAGAAAAAGUGAAUGUGCAUGGUGGAGCUGUAUCUUUGGGCCAUCCUCUCGGUUGCAGUGGAGCCCGUAUCUUGGUCACACUUUUGGGGUGUAAUUUUUAGGUAUUGAAGCAGAAGAAUGGAAAAUAUGGAGUUGGCGGUGUUUGCAAUGGUGGAGGAGGUGCAUCAGCCCUCGUUGUAGAACUUGUGUAAUCUUUUUAUGGUGUUUGGCCAAAUUAUGAGUGUGGAGCUUUGCAAAGAUGAAUCCUCCAUUGCUCUCUCUCUCUCUCUCUUUCUCAUGUUAAGAUCAAUGUUCAAUCUUUUCCAUUUAUCAUUUCCAAUAUGAGCAUCAAUGAAUUGUAUUGUUUUAUUUAGGAAAAAAAGGGUGGAUUCAAUCUUCUUCUCCUCUGGGGACUUGAUCUACCAUGUUAUGUUUGCUUGAUAGAAGAGAUGAGAUUUGUGAUCUCUAUUGCAUGAACUGUGCUGUGUUAGCUUUACAAUUGGAUUUUAUCAUUAGAUAUAUGAAAAUAAGAUAGGAUAAUGUUAUAUAAA